UACGAGGGGUGCAAGCGUUGCUCGGAAUUAUUGGGCGUAAAGGGUAGGUAGGUGGUCUCAUUUGUCUGGGGUGAAAGCCCAGGGCUUAACCCUGGAAGUGCCCCAGAAACGGUGAGACUCGAGUCCUGGAGAGGGUCGUGGAAUUCCCGGUGUAGCGGUGAAAUGCGCAGAUAUCGGGAAGAACACCCGUGGCGAAGGCGGCUCUCUGGGACGGUACUGACGCCGAGGGACGAAAGCUAGGGGAGCGAAUGGG
Molecule: ribosomal RNA, 253 nt
Filed under: uncultured bacterium
Lineage: Bacteria
Description: partial 16S ribosomal RNA
Rfam family: Bacterial small subunit ribosomal RNA
Source: RNAcentral